This is a non-coding RNA of Physcomitrium patens, 1766 nucleotides long. The record is from RefSeq and is a predicted model, not a curated record. NCBI's taxonomy places the organism in Eukaryota, Viridiplantae, Streptophyta, Bryopsida, Funariales, Funariaceae.
GCAAGCUGCCACGAGCCAAACUUGUGGCUCUCAACUCCUCUCCACUGAGCGGGGGAGUGAGCUCUUCCCCACUUCAACGCACGCAUGACACGGUUCCGUGUGCACGAUCCCUCUGUAAGCGUAUUUGCUGGCUCUGUUUGCAAUCUCUAUCAGGCUUUCCUGCAUCGCGAAGAACUCGCAGUUGGUCCCAGGCUGUUAUGCUACGUUUCCAGGCUUGCAGAAGGAUUAGAGCCAUUUCCAUCUUGGAACUCUGGCUUGACGGUGGUUACAGGUGUUUCAGAAGUUGAUAAGCCUGGUAAAGUCAGCGAGGAAGGAGUAUUGAAGAACAGCAGUAGAUCAAAUAGGAGAAAUACAUUGAUCGAUGGAGAUGAGAAAGUAACUUCUAAUUCUGGAAAUUCCUCACAGGAGCAUCGUAUAAGUGGUGGGGGUGUAUCAGUUACUGGAAACCAUGAAACAAAUACCAAUUUAGAAGUAAAUUUUCGUAAACCACAUUCAACAGAUUCUGGCAUGCAAAUAUCUGUAGUCAAUGCUUUUAAAGCAUAUGAAGAUUUUCUUGAGCAAUUAUGUGGGAUAAAUCCAUCUUCUAGAAGUGAAGGCUUGAAUGUUGCGCUGAAUCAAAAGCCUAAAAUGUCCAGUUCUCCUUCAUUUGAAAAGAAAAAUUCGUUACCACUGGAAUCAGACACGUCAGUGGCGAGGAUAUGCAAAAACUUGACGCAAAGACCCCAGAUGCACUUCUUAUUAAAGAUUUAGAAACUUCUCUUAUGUGGAGUAUGCAAAGACGUUCGAAGAUUUUGCCAUUAGUUUUUCGCUAUCUUCCUCAUCUACCCACAGUUUUAGCUUCAGACGCCUCCUGGUCAGACCGACAGACUUAGCAUGAAUUUCCGUGGCCGGAACAGGUAUGUGGUGCAACGAUGGCGCCACUUCUUGGUGCUUUCGAAUAUUCAAAGCAUGACAAGAUUUCCAUGGACGAGAAGGCUGCUCUUCGCAUAGGAGAAAUUCGACGUGCCCUUCUCAAGUUUCUGGGAAGUGCUGAGGUGCAGGCUGUAGACACUUCGUUAGAGAAUGUUAGUGAAAAUUGCUAACAGAGCUGAAGAAGUCAAUGUACAAGUUCUGCAAUGAGAUUCUGGAAGGUUGACCGACAAAUUUAAAAUACUGUGCAGAUUGUCAUCAUGCAAUAUUCAGAAGUCAGGUCAGAAUCUUCUAUCAAUGAACUUGGACAUAUUGAACUCAUCGCGACUCAGGUGACCCCUAUAGUAUGGCUGCUACAGAUGGAACAACACGGCAAGGGAGUCCUCUUGUGAGGCUAAGCAUCCGCUUCUACAGCAGAGCUUUCUUACCUUUGAAAGAGUUUAGUUAUGUCGAAAUUCGCUCUGUUCUCGACGUUGAAGGUGACCGACCUUCUAGACCAGCUUUCUGAUUGCCUAUUUGGGGGUAAAAGUGGAGAAUUGUCUGACUACGGAAAUCAAUUUACUGGAAAUUGUUAUAUGCUCAAUCUGCCACACCUCAGCCAUGAGAAGUGUUAGUGCCUUUGAAUUGCUCUUGUGAACAUAUAGCCUCGACUUUUACGUCAUCGACACACAGCAUCGAUAGCUGUGACCAACCAACCAGAAUGUUAAAUUCUCAUUGCCAUGUUCUCUAUUUUAUCAGCUCUGAGGCUUGUAAUUGGAAAUUUUAGUCCCCGCUUAGUAAUUGGAAAUUCACGAGUUAAGCCAAUGUGGAGUUCUAUCACAAUAACCAACCGUCAUUAAAGUCCUUUUGGAAUGAUA